AUACUUUCCUGGCAGGGGAGACACCAUGAUCACGAAGGUGAUUUUCCCAGAGCGAGCUAUCAUAUCCCUUGCACUCCGCAUGUGCAGACCCCUGCGAUUUCCCCAAAUGUGGGAAACUUAAUUGCAUAAUUUGCGGUAGGGGGAGACUGCGUUUGCGCUCUCCCCUG
RNAcentral lists this small nuclear RNA (167 nucleotides) under Dasypus novemcinctus (nine-banded armadillo). RNAcentral describes it as "U1 spliceosomal RNA (ENSDNOG00000028227.1)". It matches the Rfam family "U1 spliceosomal RNA". Rfam says of the family: U1 is a small nuclear RNA (snRNA) component of the spliceosome (involved in pre-mRNA splicing). Its 5' end forms complementary base pairs with the 5' splice junction, thus defining the 5' donor site of an intron. The record is from RNAcentral. Lineage: Eukaryota; Metazoa; Chordata; Mammalia; Cingulata; Dasypodidae.